AGGGUUGGCCACCUUGAGAAGCUGCGAAGAUGGCGGAGUAAGGCGUGCCGCUGCAAACUGGCCUCUGGGCCGGGGGCGAGCAGCCCCCGGGAGGCCGAGUGCAUCUGUUGGACCGUGCGAGGAGAAGAAAAAAAAUAUCGGCCAGAGGAGAGGAACUAACCGAACAUUCUUCCUCCCUACCUUAUAGAGGGGAGUGGUCAUCUACACUAAAGCAAAGUGUUAGGCGCGUCCGUGCGAAGAGACCACCAAACAGGCUUUGUGUUCCUUAUCACAGGAAGAAAAUUUUCCUUGACCUUUAGGUGCUUUUAUAUUCAUCUCAAAAACAAAAUUCUGAACUCAGGACUUGGCAAGCUGGAGUUCAGUGGCUUUUCUCAGGUGUGAUCAUGGCACACUGCAGCCUCGCACUCCUGGCCUCAAGUGAUUCUCCCACCUUAGCCUCCUGAGCAGCUGGGACUACAGGCAUGUGCCACCACUGCUGGCUGAGGUCUAUUUUGAUGUGUCUCUAUGUUGUCUCCUAGAGUGGGUAGUCCUGCUUCUUUUACCCAGUUACUUUCCCGUUUUUGAAAUGUGGCUAUCACUUCUCUACACAUUACCUCCAUGAUUUGGAAUGGAAAAGGCCACUUUUCUUUUUGUUCUGCCUCUCAAAUUCAACACAGAGGAGCUCCUAGGAUUCCAGUUAUCCUGCUAACAUCUCCAGGAAGAAAGAAGCAACUCACAUGGGUCUUUUGCUGUUUGCUUAAUUAUAAAGACAUCAUUUUGCAA
RNAcentral lists this long non-coding RNA (762 nucleotides) under Homo sapiens (human). Its description in RNAcentral is "OIP5 antisense RNA 1". Lineage: Eukaryota; Metazoa; Chordata; Mammalia; Primates; Hominidae. The record is from RNAcentral.